This 413-nucleotide unclassified non-coding RNA is filed under the name Hevea brasiliensis (rubber tree). Lineage: Eukaryota; Viridiplantae; Streptophyta; Magnoliopsida; Malpighiales; Euphorbiaceae. The record is from RNAcentral.
ACAGUGUAUGCAUUUACGAAUUUGAAGCUAAGGAUUACUCCUAUGCAAACCAUAACUUCUGAUGCCAAUAAAAUUUGCCUGUCCUCAAACAUGUUACUAAUGUAGCUUCCAACAACAAUAUUUACUGGAAGAACUGUUAGGCCUAGACAUGCAAGAAAAAUUGCCACUGUGCUUGUUGACCAACCAAAGUAGUAUGAGGUAAUUACACUCGAUUCUGAGAGUAAAAUCUCCAUGGCAUAUUUUAGCAUGAAAUAUAUCAACAACUGAACCUUUACAGAGGGCGUAAGUAGCCUGUAUGCUGAAGUAAUUGAAUUGGCAGGCUGUCGAGAUUCUUCAGGAGCUUCUUCACUGCCAUCACAUUCUCCAUCAGCAUUUUCAUCUUCUUGCUUGCCUUCUGAACUCAACAGUAAUGG